UUGGGCUUAACGUAAAUCUCUUUCUCUCUUUUCUCUUUUUCUCUCUUCUCUUUCUCUCUUCUCUCUUUUUAUCUCUCUUUUUAUCUCUCUUGUCCUCUUCUCUCUCUCUUUCCUCUUUCACUGACGGCAGAAUCCUAUCUCGCGGUGUGUGUUUCACUCGUUUUCUCUUCUUCCCUCUUUCCUUCCCUUGUGGUCUCGCAUGACCAUGACCUUCCUCUUCCCCUCUUUCCUUCCCUUGUGGUCUCGCAUGACCAUGACCUUCCACUUCCCCUUUCUCUGUGGCCCCUCACGAUCACACUUUCUCUUCUCCUUUCUUGUGGUCUAGCAUGACCACAAUUUCUCUAUUUUUUUAUUCUUUUAUCCUCUGCAAGUCCACCUGUUCCCUGUGCAACCCUCGGGUCCACCUCCUCUUUCUUUCUCUGGUAGUCCCUCAUGUCCACCUCCCUUUCUUUUCUUUUUCUGUGAUCCCUCACCGCCUCUGUUGUGCACGCUCCUGUUACCUUUUUCCCUCUCACGCUCCAUGGUCCCGCGUGACCACCAUUUCCCAAAACCGUCCUUCCUAUCGCCGUAUGUGAAACCAUCCUUCUGAUUGUCGUCUGAGAAACCAUCCUUCCUAUAGCCGUCUGUGAAAGCCUCCUUCUUAUUGCCGUCUGUGAAACUGCCCUUCCUAUCGUUGCCUGUAAACCCACCUUACCGCCGUCUGUCAAACCUUAUCGCCGUAUGUGUAAUCCACCCUAUCGCAGCGGGUGAACCAACCCUUAUUGCCUGCUGUGCAUAAAUUCUUCCACCGAGCUGAGCCCUCUUCCUCUCUCCCCAACCUGGCUGUUGCCCUCACGUGGUGACCAUCACCAGCACCGAAGAUUAGUCCCGAUCCCUAUCAACAGUCAGGAACCCCUUGUGACUUCCAUUAGCAUCAUUAAGACCUCAGUCUCGUAUGCCUGUGAUUCCCAUCUACUCCACUUCUUUCGCUCUCUAACUUCCUGCAGCCAGGAGGCAACCUCGGCAGCCACGACCUUCCUCUCGCCAUCACACCACAGCUGCACCCCAGCUCACCACCUUCUCUCUAAUCCUCUGCGACCAUCCCCAAUUCACUGCUACCUCUAUCCUACCAUCUCUCUUCCCUCCUGCUACCACCACACCUUCUUCCUCAAACCACCCAUGAUUAACCCGAGCACUCCCACUUUCUUUCUCCUUCUGCUCCUCUCUUCUUCAUUUCACUGUCACCCAUGACCAGACCCCGAUCUUGCCUACCAGAUGAAAUUGCAGCUGCAGCAGCCACCCCUUCCAUUCACUGCUUUCUCUACGCCACUUGCAGCUUGCCAUCUCCACCCACCUAAUCCUCUGCUGCUCAGCCACCUCCGCCACUCUCCGUCAGCUGUCUCCCUCAGCCUUCUCCGCCAAUUCCUGUCACUGUCACCCUCCUUUCUCCCCAUCUUCUUCGCUGUGGCCAACCUCACUCGCUUACCUGCGACCAUCACCACCAGCCUGCUUCUCUCUUCUUCACUUCCACUCAUCUGCAGCCAAGCCACUCCCACUCUUUGCAACUUGCGUCCACUUUCUGCUCUCCGCUCUCUGUAACUUCCCAUUUUUUCUCUCUAAGACCCCCGAACGAAACCCAAUCUCCGCUUUCACUUUCUUUCUUUUCAUUUUAGUUUUCAUUAGUUUUCGUUUCGUUUCAUCUCCUCCAUACCCUUUAUUUCGUCCUUAUCUAACCGUCC
This 1718-nucleotide long non-coding RNA is filed under the name Amborella trichopoda. RNAcentral describes it as "long non-coding RNA (ATRI_LNC000940)". The record is from RNAcentral. Lineage: Eukaryota; Viridiplantae; Streptophyta; Magnoliopsida; Amborellales; Amborellaceae.